CAGAGCCCCGCCCACUCACACUCUUCUCUCUCCCCGUUCUCCUCUCUUUCUGCUUCUGUCUUCCUCUUCUCUUCUGUCUUCCCUCUGUGUCUCUUUACCUCUUUUCUCUUUCCUUCCCCUUCCCUCCCCUUCCUAAUAAAACCUCUCACUCAAGCUCUGUCUGCCUGGCGUGUUUCGGUCACCCUAGCUGGCAUGGAAUCCGCCAUGGCCUCCACUGUAGAACCCCCUUCCGGCUUUAUCCUAGCAUUUGAAGCAAAAGAACAACUCCUUUCAGUCAACAGACAGCCUGAGGAGAUAGAUUUGGGACCCAUAAAACAGGAAGUCCAUGUGCAGCUGUGGCUGGCCUGAAACUUGAUAUGCAGACCGAGUAAUCCCAAACUCACAGACAUCUGCCUGCUUCUUCCACUGCUGAGAUUAAAGGUUUGUCUGCCUGCCAGAAGAGGGCACCAGAUCUCAUUGCAGAUGGUUGUGAGCCACCACCUGGUUGCUGGGAAUUGAACUCAGGACCUCAGUACUCUUAACCUCUGAGCCAUCUCUCCAGUCCACAUGCAGAUUUCUAACAGUGUUCCAUGCAGAAGCAGUAGGUACAAA
Molecule: long non-coding RNA, 591 nt
Filed under: Cricetulus griseus (Chinese hamster)
Lineage: Eukaryota; Metazoa; Chordata; Mammalia; Rodentia; Cricetidae
Description: lncRNA (ENSCGRG00015032102.1)
Source: RNAcentral